RNAcentral lists this ribosomal RNA (250 nucleotides) under uncultured bacterium. RNAcentral describes it as "partial 16S ribosomal RNA". It matches the Rfam family "Bacterial small subunit ribosomal RNA", at positions 355 to 618 of the family's 1533-position model. The record is from RNAcentral.
CCGAGAAUAUUCGACAAUGGACGAAAGUCUGAUCGAGCGACGCCGCGUGAAUGAUGAAGUGCUUCGGCACGUAAAAUUCUUUUAUGGGGGAGAAAGUUUAUUGAUAGUACCCCACGAAUAAGAGGCUACAAACUCUGUGCCAGCAGUAGCGGUAAUACAGAGGCCUCAAGCGUUAUCCGGAAUUACUGGGCGUAAAGGGUGUGUAGGUGGUUUAGUUAGUCUUCUGUUAAAUUCUUCGGCUUAACCGGGG